CCCCUCUCAGGAUCACACCUGGAGAGAUCCCAGUACUCUACCAAUCUCAACUACAGGAGGGAGAGUCAGGCAGAGGCAUAUCCAUUCCAUUCCUAGCUUGAGCAGUGGCUAGCUAGUGGAAGUCCAUCUGCUACAAGU
This is a non-coding RNA of Ornithorhynchus anatinus (platypus), 138 nucleotides long. NCBI's taxonomy places the organism in Eukaryota, Metazoa, Chordata, Mammalia, Monotremata, Ornithorhynchidae. The record is from Rfam.